This 283-nucleotide long non-coding RNA is filed under the name Drosophila guanche. The record is from RNAcentral. Lineage: Eukaryota; Metazoa; Arthropoda; Insecta; Diptera; Drosophilidae.
CUGCGUUCCUGUUUGAGUGGCGCAGCCCUCAAUACCAUCAGCUCGUUGGAAAUAAGUGAGGCUAAUUAUAUCGUGGCACUAAAUAUUUUAAAGCGGAACAUUGAUAAUAAAUGGUCUAUUUUGCAGGCACACAUCAGAGGGAUAUUUGGGUUGGCGAAGGCUGACGCAGAAAGGCUCCUUGUAAGGAAGAAGUAUUCUUCUACCGACAGUGCUUCAGAAGCUGGACAAUGACACUCAGAACAGACGGGAGGAAACUUCUUCGAAUCAGGAGGUGCCGUCGUGG